This is a long non-coding RNA of Oreochromis aureus, 800 nucleotides long. RefSeq lists it as uncharacterized. The transcript has 4 exons. Lineage: Eukaryota; Metazoa; Chordata; Actinopteri; Cichliformes; Cichlidae. The record is from RefSeq and is a predicted model, not a curated record.
AGACUUCUGGUUAUUCUUCUUCAGGCAAACAGGCAGACGGGGAUCCAGGCGGAAAGCAUAGAGAGUGACGCUCAAGCCCUCUUCAAGGCUGGAGAGCAGAAGUUUGGCACUGAUGAACAAUCUUUUGUUACCAUCCUGGGUAACCGGAGUUCAGAACACCUCAGGAAAGUAUUCGACGCUUAGAAGGAAGCUGUCUGGAUAUGAGAUGGAGGAGAGUAUCAAGAGAGAAACAUGUGGAAACCUGAAGGACCUCCUCCUUGCCGUUGGUAUGCGCUCUAGACGACUCCCUGAAGUUAUUCUUUUGUUGGUUUGCCCCCCCCCCCAAAAUAAGUAGGCUUUAUUUCAAUCCUGUUAAAAGAACACAACAAUAAACUAAAAAACAAAGCAUCAGCAAAAUUAUGAAAUAAUAAAUGAAAUGUUCAAAAAGGAGUAGGAAGAGGCACAAGCUUAUUUACUUUUAGUAACUCAUAAUAUAUAUAUAUAUAUAUAUAUAUAUCAUCAAAGCUUUUUUUCCUAUUUGGAUCUUGCAAAAACCACAUUUUUGUAUCACAUUUUAAACUGGGUCAUGGGAUCAUGCUUGGACAUUGGUUCAGUUCAUCACUCAGUCUUACUACUCAUAAGUACACAGUGAUGAAUUUCCUUUCUGUGGUGUGUUUUUUGUACUGUGAAGUGUGCCAGGAGUGUUCCUUCACUAUACAAUGAAAUAUUAUGCUGAAGUGUCAGACUUCAAUUGUCUAGUUUGCACUUUGUAUGGGAGAACAUGUAUAUCCAAUAAUAAAUGCUUAAUUUGAUGAAGUUCA